This 492-nucleotide ribosomal RNA is filed under the name uncultured bacterium. Its description in RNAcentral is "partial 16S ribosomal RNA". It matches the Rfam family "Bacterial small subunit ribosomal RNA", at positions 29 to 507 of the family's 1533-position model. The record is from RNAcentral.
AGUGAACGCUGGCGGUAGGCCUAACACAUGCAAGUCGAACGGCAGCACACUAAGAGCUUGCUCUUACGGGUGGCGAGUGGCGGACGGGUGAGGAAUACAUCGGAAUCUACUUUUUCGUGGGGGAUAACGUAGGGAAACUUACGCUAAUACCGCAUACGACCUACGGGUGAAAGCAGGGGAUCUUCGGACCUUGCGCGAUUGAAUGAGCCGAUGUCGGAUUAGCUAGUUGGUGGGGUAAAGGCCCACCAAGGCGACGAUCCGUAGCUGGUCUGAGAGGAUGAUCAGCCACACUGGAACUGAGACACGGUCCAGACUCCUACGGGAGGCAGCAGUGGGGAAUAUUGGACAAUGGGCGCAAGCCUGAUCCAGCCAUACCGCGUGGGUGAAGAAGGCCUUCGGGUGGUAAAGCCCUUUUGUUGGGAAAGAAAAGCAGCAGGUUAAUACCCCGCUGUUCUGACGGUACCCAAAGAAUAAGCACCGGCUAACUUCGUG